CUCAUUAUUAUGAGAUAAUUAUAGUGUUCUAUAUAUAUCUAUGGGCGUGACAGCCAUAGGUGACAACAACCCAGGCGCGACGGAAGUACUCUGGCGUGACGGAAGUGAUUUAUUUUUUAAACUUUUUUUUAAACACCGCUAAAUCGGAAACCAAAGAUGAACCAUGGAAAAAGAAAUGCCAGUCCUCAGAAAAUGGUGGUGCACAGUACUACUGCUUGAGAACUUCCACCUGGAUGGGCACGGCAGAAGGUUCCCACGCUUCAUGGAGGAGGCCAAACAAAUGGCGGUUCGACUACCGUACUUCCACCAGUCUCAGACUGAAGCGAAAAAAAGAAGUGAAUGACGUUUCCAGUGACAGAAUACAAAUAAUAUAUUGUAUAGGCUUAAUAUUAAUUUGACUGUUUGAUUAUUUUGACAGUGAGUUGGAGCUGAUGGCAGUCAGCAUGAAGAAACUAUAUCUUAAAGCUUCUGUAGAUUAUUUGUUAAAUAAAUUGUGAGGAAACUUUGGUGUGGUUAUUCUUCAACUAAUUUAUUCUAUUUAUAUCAAACUAUGAUGAUAUACUCAACAAAAAAAUAAAUUUGAUUCUAUUAGACAUAUUAAAACAAAUACAUAAUUUCAAAG
Molecule: long non-coding RNA, 622 nt
Filed under: Gadus morhua (Atlantic cod)
Lineage: Eukaryota; Metazoa; Chordata; Actinopteri; Gadiformes; Gadidae
Description: lncRNA (ENSGMOG00000025551.1)
Source: RNAcentral